UAAUUCACAGCAGUCUCUGCUUACCUUAGGGCCUUCACAUGCUUCCCAGGCAUUUACUUCUUAUACUCUUUUUUUUCAUACACAAGACCAAACAAAUUCUUAGGCUUUAAAAUUACAGCACAUAUAUAGGAUACAAAACCAUGGUGGAAGUGUAGCUAACAUAAAACAUACCAGGAGGAAGGUGUGUUGGGGGAGGAGGGGUUGGAGGCGAAUUGAAGGGAGCUAAGCAGCUACCAGAUCUCUGGAAGAUAGAUGGGGUGACUCAAACGAUCUUGAACUCUAAGAAUGUUUGGGUCUGAGAGAGGUUUGAGAACCCAAUUCUUACUUGAUUCAGAAAAGGAUAAAAAGUAACCAGAGUAUAUCAAGCAAGGAAAGCAGUGUGAGUCUGUUUUCUAAUAUAUUUUAUCACAAUUUAAAAGAGAACCUUUGGGCUGGAGAGAUGGCUCAGCAGUUAAGAAUAUUUGAUGCUCCUCCAGAGAACCAAGUCUGGUUCCCAAUUCCCACAUCAGGUAGCUUACAUCCACCCUUAACUCCAGUUCCAAGAGCUCUGACAUCUCUGACCUUGGGCAUCUGCACUCAUGUGUAGACACACAGGUAAGGAAAAAAUAAUAAUUUUGAAGAUAACUGUACAAAUGAUGGUAGUACUUGUAAUAAAUGUACUAGAAAACAUGAAGUCCUUUAAAUUGCUUAAAUAUCAAAAUUUCCUAUACGAUGAGCUUACCAAAGUAAGAUUUUACUGUUUCAAAACAAGUUUCACAUACUUUUGUAACAAAUAUUCCUCUGUUACCUGUUAUUGUGACAAAACACUUGACAUAAAGAAGUAAGCCUGCAUUUUUACCCAAUAUCAGGCUUCUAUCUCAUCACUUGUUCCUGUUUCUGGGCUCUAAAAAGCCUUAGCUGCUAGCCAGGAAGCAAAGAAGGGACAAGAUAAGUCUUCCCAAGGAAUGCCUCCAAUUUCCUCUAACUAGGCCCCAGCAUCUCGCAAUAAUACAAUUAAAUAUCAGUGGAUGAAUUCACUGAUGAGAUUCGUAUCCUCGGGAGCCAGUUAUUUCCCCCUAAAAAAAUCUUAUCAGCUGACAACUGAACCUUUAACACAUUUAUAUAAUAAACCCACAAAGAAAUGAUACAUGAAAUGUGAUUACCCCUAAUUUAAAUGUAUACAUCUAUGGAAAUAGCAAUAGCAUAGAAAUACAUGUAAUUUGUAUGUCAAUUAUAGCUAAAACAAAAUAAAAAUCAGAUCUGCUGCUAUUUCUAUUGAAUAAAAUAGUGUGGGAGCAGACUGGGAUGAGUGAAACAGAUUGUGACAGUUAAGUAACUUCAAUGAAUGUCACUCCUCAGUUCAUUCUUAAUUUGUUCAUCUGUAUAAAUUUCUGACUUAAUUGUAGGUGUGCCUUUAAGUUCUAAAAUGAUCGUUCCCUCUGUUGGUAAAAAAAAGAUUACAUAUAUAGUACAUUUAUAUUUAUAGUACAGAUGUAUAUAUACACAUAUAUGUAUGCUUAUAGUACAUUUUAUAAAGAUAUAUUUAGUACAUUUUAUUUGGAGUUGGGAAAAUUGGGAUUUUGAAAUAGUUACAACUUUUUAAUAUCUCACAGCUUUUUAAAAUACCUUUAUUGGGCAGUAUCACUCAAAUUUGGUCAGAAUAAGGCUGUAGGCUUAUAAAGACUUAAGUGUCUUGGGAAUGAAAUGUGAAGAAUACUAGCUGUUAUUCCACUUUUACUUUUAAGCAGAAUCACACACUAAAGCUGAACCAUGGAAAACACCCUGGUAUGUUGGACACGUAAGCCAAAGGCUAUUGCAGGACCAACACCAGGAGUUACUGUGGCCAUAAAAGAGGUGUGCUGAGGUCCUAACAUCUAGUAAGGUGGUGUAACCACAUUCAGAAGCCAGGUCUUUGCAGAUGUCAAGAUGAUGUCACUGGUGGGCCUCAGUACAUCUUUACAAAAAAAGGACACUACUGUUUGCCGCUUCUAACCAUGGAUAAUUUCUGUUAAAAUCUAGACUUAGUGACAGAGAAAUAACCUGGUUUGGAUAUUUGAGAUGUGAAGUGUGAAUAUAUAUUUUAGUGUAUAUUGAAUGAAUAAAUAUGUCUCAUACAAUCAGAUUUGUAGCAGGUAAAUGUUACCUUUAUUACAUAAUAGGACUGUGUUUUCUCCUCUUCUCCCUCAGGAGGCAGCAUGACAACAGUAAGAAUUUCAUAUCUGUUCUUAAGCUUAUCAAUUUUACUUAGCCGCUCAUGAAAUUCAGAACUAAUGUGAAAAGAAAUUAAAAAUUAGUAGGUGUUUUUAUUGAAGACCUUUGGACUCAUAUUAUUAUUGUACUCAAACAGAUUAAAGUGCUCUCCUGUUUUAAUGAUCCUGUGUGUGGAUCUCAGAGUUUACCCUACUUGAACAAGCUAGCUUGUCAUAGUUCCAGAGAUUCUAACAGAAGACAUGAGAGACUAUUAUAACAGAGAUGAAGGAUGUUACCAUUCCUGACACAGGAGAAGAUACAAGCUUCCUGUCUACAUGGCUUGCUCCACGUCUCACGAGAGCAAGAAGGGGAUUAGGUAGAUACUUCACAAACAGUAGGUCUAUGUUACAAUUAAGAAACCCCAAAUAUUUUCAAGUGGUAAAUAAGCAGAUAUACCUAACUUUUGCUUUAGAGGGAACUAUGACCUCUGCCUUUCUAUUCAAACAGUACAAUGGGAGUUAGUACAUCUCUUUACAAGACAUUAAAAUAAAAUUCAUAGAGGAUUUACCAAC
This 2741-nucleotide long non-coding RNA is filed under the name Rattus norvegicus (Norway rat). Its description in RNAcentral is "long non-coding RNA NONRATT015215". The record is from RNAcentral. Lineage: Eukaryota; Metazoa; Chordata; Mammalia; Rodentia; Muridae.